Molecule: ribosomal RNA, 445 nt
Filed under: uncultured bacterium
Lineage: Bacteria
Description: bacterial SSU rRNA
Rfam family: Bacterial small subunit ribosomal RNA
Source: RNAcentral
GUGAGGAAUAUUGGUCAAUGGACGGAAGUCUGAACCAGCCAUGCCGCGUGAAGGAUGAAGGCGUUCUGCGUUGUAAACUUCUUUUAUUUAGGAAGAAACCACCGAUUUCUAUUGGUGUUGACGGUAUUAAAUGAAUAAGCACCGGCUAACUCCGUGCCAGCAGCCGCGGUAAUACGGAGGGUGCGAGCGUUAUCCGGAUUUACUGGGUUUAAAGGGUGCGCAGGCGGUCUUAUAAGUCCGGGGUGAAAUACUACAGCUCAACUGUAGAACUGCCUUGGAUACUAUAGGACUUGAAUCGAGUAUAGGUCAGCGGAAUACAACAUGUAGCGGUGAAAUGCAUAGAUAUGUUGUGGAACACCGAUUGCGAAGGCAGCUGACUGGGCUUGAAUUGACGCUCAGGCACGAAAGCGUGGGUAGCGAACAGGAUUAGGAACCCCUGUAGUCC